UGUCGGGAAGAAGGGAGGGUUGAGCAAUGUCUGCGGCUUCCCCCGGGAUCUUGGGCCCGCCAAGUGUCCCACGGCACAGAGCCACUCGCUGGGCCAGAGGGGGCACAGGCUGUCUUGCCUCCAUGGCCCCAAUCCACCUGGAGACGUGCACGCAGCAGGGCAAGCGGUGCCCACAUUGCCAACCCUGAGGGC
This 192-nucleotide long non-coding RNA is filed under the name Sus scrofa (pig). RNAcentral describes it as "lncRNA (ENSSSCG00005010008.1)". The record is from RNAcentral. Lineage: Eukaryota; Metazoa; Chordata; Mammalia; Artiodactyla; Suidae.